CCUACGGGCGGCAGCAGUAGGGAAUUUUGCGCAAUGGGCGAAAGCCUGACGCAGCAACGCCGCGUGAUCGAGACGCCCUUCGGGGUGUAAAGAUCUGUCAGUGGGGACGAAACUUGACGGUACCCACAGAGGAAGCACCGGCUAACUCCGUGCCAGCAGCCGCGGUAAUACGUAGGAUCCGAGCAUUAUCCGGAGUGACUGGGUGUAAAGAGUUGCGUAGGUGGCAUAAUAAGUAGCUAGUGAAAUCUGGUGGCUCAACCAUUCAGACUAUUAGCUAAACUGUUAAGCUCGAGACCGUUAGGGGUAACUGGAAUUUCUAGUGUAGGAGUGAAAUCCGUAGAUAUUAGAAGGAACACCAAUAGCGUAGGCAGGUUACUGGGACGGUUCUGACACUAAGGCACGAAAGCGUAGGGAGCAAACGGGAUUAGAUACCCGAGUAGUC
Molecule: ribosomal RNA, 442 nt
Filed under: uncultured bacterium
Lineage: Bacteria
Description: partial 16S ribosomal RNA
Rfam family: Bacterial small subunit ribosomal RNA
Source: RNAcentral